Molecule: ribosomal RNA, 432 nt
Filed under: uncultured bacterium
Lineage: Bacteria
Description: partial 16S ribosomal RNA
Rfam family: Bacterial small subunit ribosomal RNA
Source: RNAcentral
AACGAACGCUGGCGGCAUGCCUAACACAUGCAAGUCGAACGAGACCUUCGGGUCUAGUGGCGCACGGGUGCGUAACGCGUGGGAACCUGCCCUUAGGUUCGGAAUAACUCCCCGAAAGGGGUGCUAAUACCGGAUAAUGUCUUCGGACCAAAGAUUUAUCGCCUUUGGAUGGGCCCGCGUUGGAUUAGCUAGUUGGUAGGGUAAAAGCCUACCAAGGCGACGAUCCAUAGCUGGUCUGAGAGGAUGAUCAGCCACACUGGGACUGAGACACGGCCCAGACUCCUACGGGAGGAAGCAGGGGGGAAUAUUGGACAAGGGGCGAAAGCCUGAUCCAGCAAUGCCGGGGGGGUGAGGAAGGCCUUAGGGUUGUAAAGCUCUUUUACCCGGGAUGAAAAUGACAGUACCGGGAAAAAAAGCCCCGGCUAACUCCGU